UAAAGCGAAUAGUGAAAUCUGGGGGCUCAACCUCACAGGCUAUUAUUCGAACUCACUGACUCGAGAACAGCAGAGGUAACUGGAAUUUCUGAAGUAGGGGUAAUAUCCGUAGAUAUCAGAAGGAACACCAAUGGCGUAGGCAGGUUACUGGGCUGUUUCUGACACUGAGGCACGAAAGCGUGGGGAGCGAACCGGAUUAGAUACCCGGGUAGUCCACGCCGUAAACGAUGGAUACUA
Molecule: ribosomal RNA, 237 nt
Filed under: uncultured Candidatus Saccharibacteria bacterium
Lineage: Bacteria; Candidatus Saccharimonadota
Description: partial 16S ribosomal RNA
Rfam family: Bacterial small subunit ribosomal RNA
Source: RNAcentral